UGGGGAAUCUUCCGCAAUGGACGAAAGUCUGACGGAGCAACGCCGCGUGAGUGAAGAAGGUUUUCGGAUCGUAAAACUCUGUCUUUUGGGGCGAACGUGAGUAUGGUGAACAAUCAUAGUCAGUGACGGUACCAAAGGAGGAGGCCACGGCUAACUACGUGCCAGCAGCCGCGGUAAUACGUAGGUGGCAAGCGUUGUCCGGAAUUAUUGGGCGUAAAGAGCGCGUAGGCGGGAUAGUCAGUCUGUUGUAAAGUGCGGGGCUCAACCCCGUGAUGGCAAUGGAAACAGCUAUUCUUGAGUGCAGGAGAGGAAAGUGGAAUUCCCAGUGUAGCGGUGAAAUGCGUAGAUAUUGGGAGGAACACCAGUGGCGAAGGCGACUUUCUGGACUGUGUCUGACGCUGAGGCGCGAAAGCCAGGGGGAGCGAACGGGAUUAGAUACCCCCGGUAGUCCUGGCCGUAAACGAUGGGUACUAGGUGUGGGAGGUAUCGACCCCCUUUCCGUGCCGGAGUUAACGCAAUAAGUACCCCGCCUGGGGAGUACGGUCGCAAGACUGAAACUCAAAUGAAUUGACGGGGGUCAUAGCUGUUUCCUG
RNAcentral lists this ribosomal RNA (593 nucleotides) under uncultured bacterium. Its description in RNAcentral is "partial 16S ribosomal RNA". It matches the Rfam family "Bacterial small subunit ribosomal RNA", at positions 355 to 941 of the family's 1533-position model. The record is from RNAcentral.